Molecule: ribosomal RNA, 330 nt
Filed under: uncultured bacterium
Lineage: Bacteria
Description: bacterial SSU rRNA
Rfam family: Bacterial small subunit ribosomal RNA
Source: RNAcentral
UGUGUAGGCGGUUCUCUAAGUUUGGUGUGAAAUCUCCCGGCUCAACCGGGAGGGUGCGCCGAAAACUGGAGGGCUAGAGUGCGGGAAGGGAGAGUAGAAUUCCUGGUGUAGCGGUGAAAUGCGUAGAUAUCAGGAGGAAUACCGGUGGUGCAGACGGCUCUCUGGACCGCUACUGACGCUGAGACACGAAAGCGUGGGUAGCAAACAGGAUUAGAUACCCUGGUAGUCCACGCCCUAAACGAUGCAUAUUUGGUGUAGGUCAUUCAGUUGAUCUGUGCCGGAGCUAACGCGUUAAAUAUGCCGCCUGGGGAGUACAGUCGCAAGGCUAGA